AAUAUUUCACAAUGGAGGGAACUCUGAUGCAGCAACGCCGCGUGAGUGAAGAAGGUUUUAGGAUCGUACCACUCUGUCAUUGGGGAAGAAUAAAUGACGGUACCCAAUGAGGAAGCCCCGGCUAACUACGUGCCAGCAGCCGCGGUAAUACGUAGGUGGCGCGCGUUGUCCGGAAUUAUUGGGCGUAAAGGGUUCGCAGGCGGUCUUUUAAGUCAGAUGUGAAAGAUCACGGCUCAACCGUGGUAAGCAUUUGAAACUGGGAGACUUGAGUGCAGAAGAGGAGAGUGGAAUUCCAUGUGUAGCGGUGAAAUGCGUAGAGAUAUGGAGGAACACCAGUGGCGAAGGCGACUCUCUGGUCUGUAACUGACGCUGAGGCGCGAAAGCGUGGGGAUCAAACA
Molecule: ribosomal RNA, 398 nt
Filed under: uncultured bacterium
Lineage: Bacteria
Description: partial 16S ribosomal RNA
Rfam family: Bacterial small subunit ribosomal RNA
Source: RNAcentral